RNAcentral lists this long non-coding RNA (842 nucleotides) under Gallus gallus (chicken). Its description in RNAcentral is "lncRNA (ENSGALG00010017857.1)". The record is from RNAcentral. Lineage: Eukaryota; Metazoa; Chordata; Aves; Galliformes; Phasianidae.
UGACCAUCGAGUUUCAACCCCCCGGCUAUGUGCCAACCACCAGAGGAUCGCCAACCACCAGAGCAGGCUGCCCAGAGCCACUUCCAGCCUGGCCUUGAAUGCCUCCAGCGACGGGACAUCCACAACCUCCUUGGGCAACCUGUUCCAGUGCGUCACCACCCUCUGGGUGAAAAACUUCCUCCUAAUAUCUAACCUAAACCGCCCCUGUCUCAGUUUAAGACCAUCCCUCCUUGUCCUACCACUAUCCACCCUCAAAAACAGUCGUUCCCCUUCCAGUUUAUACGCUCCCUUCAAGUACUGGAAGGCCACAAUGAGCUCCCCCUGGAGCCUUCUCUUCUCCAAGCUAUACAAGCCCAGUUCCCUCAACCUUUCCUCAUAGGAGAGGUGCUCCUGCCCUCUGAUCAUCUUAGUGGCCCUCCUCUGGACACGCUCCAACAGCUCCACCCUUCCUCUACUGGGGGCCUGUAGAGCAAAUAAGGAUACGGAUAUAAGAAACUAUCGCCUUUGAAAAGGAAUAAUCAGAGAUGAACAGGAAGCUUACCCGUGUCCUAGGCUCGCCAAAAGGGCUCCAAGAGGAGUGAUCUUCAGAGAGCGAUCCUUCCUCCGUGGCAGUCAGCCCUUAAAUGGGGUUUAGAAGAGGUGGAGUUGCAGUUCAACAGGUCUCAUACAGGGCCCCAGGCCUGGGUGCAGUACUCCAGAUGGGGCCUCACAAGAGCUGAGUAGAGGGGGACAACCACCUCCCUCUCCCUGCUGGCCACCUCUUUCUUAACGCAGCCCAGAACACACUUGGCCUUCCGGGCUGCCAGCACACACUGCUGGCUCACGUCCAGCUUCUAAAAUCA